AUAUCAAUAAGCGGAGGAAAAGAAACCAACAGGGAUUGCCCUAGUAACGGCGAGUGAAGCGGCAACAGCUCAAAUUUGAAAUCUGGCCCUUUCAGGGUCCGAGUUGUAAUUUGCAGAGGGUGCUUUGGCGUUGGCUGUGGUCUAAGUUCCUUGGAACAGGACGUCGCAGAGGGUGAGAAUCCCGUAUGUGGCCGCCAGCCUCCGCCGUGUAAAGCCCCUUCGACGAGUCGAGUUGUUUGGGAAUGCAGCUCUAAAUGGGAGGUAAAUUCCUUCUAAAGCUAAAUACUGGCCAGAGACCGAUAGCGCACAAGUAGAGUGAUCGAAAGAUGAAAAGCACUUUGGAAAGAGAGUCAAAAAGCACGUGAAAUUGUUGAAAGGGAAGCGCUUGCAGCCAGACUUGCCUGCGGUUGCUCAUCCGGGCUCUUGCCCGGUGCACUCUUCCGUAGGCAGGCCAGCAUCAGUUCGGGCGGGUGGAUAAAGGCCUGCUAAACGUACCUCUCUUCGGGGAGGACUUAUAGGGUAGGCGACAUACACCCAGCCUGGACUGAGGUCCGCGCAUCUGCUAGGAUGCUGGCGUAAUGGCUGUAAGCGGCCCGUCUUGAAACACGGACCAAGGAGUCUAACAUCUAUGCGAGUGUUUGGGUGUCAAGCCCGGGCGCGCAAUGAAAGUGAACGGAGGUGGGAACCCCUCGGGGCGCACCAUCGACCGAUCCUGAUGUCUUCGGAUGGAUUUGAGUAAGAGCAUAGCUGUUGGGACCCGAAAGAUGGUGAACUAUGCCUGAAUAGGGUGAAGCCAGAGGAAACUCUGGUGGAGGCUCGCAGCGGUUCUGACGUGCAAAUCGAUCGU
This 847-nucleotide ribosomal RNA is filed under the name Sparticola irregularis. RNAcentral describes it as "Sparticola sp. NGL-2023a partial large subunit ribosomal RNA". It matches the Rfam family "Eukaryotic large subunit ribosomal RNA", at positions 40 to 905 of the family's 3401-position model. The record is from RNAcentral. Lineage: Eukaryota; Fungi; Ascomycota; Dothideomycetes; Pleosporales; Sporormiaceae.